AGUGGUCACCGUCUAGUGCUGAGGUGUCACCGUCUAGUGCUGAGGUGUCAACGUCUAGUACUUAGGUCACAGGCGCAAAGUUGAUGCUUUUGUUGUCUCUAAAAAAUCUAUGUUGAUGAAUUUAUAUGAAUAUAUAUUUAUUUCAACCGUAUUGUAAAAGUUUCCUUCUAUACAUUGUUUGGUGAAAUUAAUACCUUAUCAAUUUUUUGUGAUCUACGCUGUUUACUGUCCGAACCAACGUAACAUGGAGAGCGCGAUGACUUUGCAGUGGGUGAUCUUCCUGUGCGAUCUUACCUUAUUGGUUCGUAUAAGAGAUCCUUAUAACAGAUCUUUUGUGUUAUGUUAAAUGUGUCUGUCAUUUCAGAGCUGGACUGAUCAGCCCAUGUGUUCUUCAAACGAUUCUUCCCAUUUAUCCCGAGAUUCAACAGACCUACUCUAGUUAUUUGGGAAAGCAUACGAUUCUUCUGCUGAGAAAACCUCUUUCAAUUAAAUCUAAUAAUGAUAUCCAUCACAAUAGGCAAGAAUUUUCAUGAUUGUCAGCGCAAGGCUUCUAUAGUUUUAAGUAUGGCAAUUCCUUCUAGCCAGGUAAAGGUGCUAAUAACAUGAACAGAUCUUUUGUACAUCAUUUGUCUACUAGUUCAAAUGUUUUCUCAAGGAACCAUUCACAAAUGUUCGCUCACAUAUUAAGAAAUGUCGCGUUGCCAUUACUCCAUAACGUUGUUUAAAUUAGCACCAGACUUGCCGCUUUUAAAUUUGCAGUUAUCUUGAAUUAACAAGUUGGUUUAUAGCCAACGGUUUUUAAGGGUACCGCAGGACAUGAAAAAAUCAGUGCAAGUGGGAAGUAAAAUUAGUACGUCCACCAAUCAUUUCAUAACUGGAAUACUUCUUUUAAUUUCGAUUGCAGUAAAUGGAAGGAUACAAUUACUCAUUCCCAUGAACUUCACUAGCCUCACACUUCAUUUCAUGACCGCUGCUCUAAGGAAUUCCCUUUAACCACAUACAUUAUUUGGCGGCUAAGUAAUUAAUGGACGGCUCAAUAUUAGAUGCACUUCACGUCACAAACAUGGCUGCAUCAUCGCGUGCAUACCUUGACUUUAGGCCGCUACAGCUUCUUAUAAUUCACACGUGGAAAACACCAAAGCUUUCUUACUUUUUCUAGAACCGUUUCUGUUGUCGACAUAAGAUAAUUUUUAAUAUCGUUCAAUUUGUUCUCAACACUUUGUCGUUAAGUUUAGAAUGUUGAUGCCUUAAACUAAGGGAAAGAUAUAUUAUUUAAUAUUGCUUCAAUACUAGGUGAGAAUUAAUUUUUUAUUCAGUUUGUAAGUAUGACUAGAUGAUUCGCAUAUCUUGUACGCUAUUAUUUAUCACUCCAAAGAAUCAAUAUAAUUCAUCAGAAGAGAUGGUUGGAUAUUAGCGUGGCGUUGAUGUCACGCAUACAUCGACUGUACUGGAGCAUGCGAUGUACAGUCGAGCGCUGCAACACCCAUGGUUGAAUUAAUAUUAAUUCAACCAUGGCUACACCUGCUCGCUGGGACGCAGUUCUCCAUAUUGUGAGUCGACGUUAUUUUACGUCACGUGUAUGAAGACGUGUAUUGCCCGAGCGGCGCGAAAUAAACUUGUUAUACAUGAUAUCAAA
Molecule: long non-coding RNA, 1636 nt
Organism: Hyalella azteca
Lineage: Eukaryota; Metazoa; Arthropoda; Malacostraca; Amphipoda; Hyalellidae
Exons: 2
Source: RefSeq, a predicted model, not a curated record